AGUGGAUGGGGAGCAACCUAGUUGUGCGUGUGUAAAGGUAGUGCCAAGAAAAGCGGUGAUCAUGAUGAAAAUCAAUUCCCGGUACCCGAAACCGACACAGGUGGGCAAGUAGAGAAUACUAAGGGGCGCGAGGUAACUCUCUCCAAGGAACUCGGCAAAAUGACCCCGUAACUUAGGGAGAAGGGGUGCCACCGAGAGGUGGUCGCAGUGAAGAGGCCUAGGCGACUGUUUAGCAAAAACAUAGGUCUCUGCAAACUCGAAAGAGGAGGUAUAGGGGCUGACGCCUGCCCAGUGCCGGAAGGUUAAAGAAGUUGGUCAGUCUUAGGAUAAAGCUAGCGACUGAAGCCCCGGUGAACGGCGGCCGUAACUAUAACGGUCCUAAGGUAGCGAAAUUCCUUGUCGGGUAAGUUCCGACCCGCACGAAAGGCGUAACGAUCUGGGCGCUGUCUCGGAGAGAGGCUCGGCGAAAUAGGAUUGUCUGUGAAGAUACGGACUACCUGCAUUUGGACAGAAAGACCCUAUGAAGCUUUACUAUAGCUUGGAAUUGUGUUCGGGCUUCCUGUGCGCAGGAUAGGUGGGAGGCGAAGAAGGUAUUCUUGUGGGGAUACUGGAGCCAACGGUGAGAUACCACUCUCAGGAGGCUAGAAUUCUAACUUAAUUAAGGACAGUUUCAGGUGGGUAGUUUGACUGGGGCGGUCGCCUCCAAAAAGGUAACGGAGGCGUACAAAGGUUCCCUCAGACUGGUUGGAAAUCAGUCGCAGAGUGCAAAGGCAGAAGGGAGCUUGACUGCGAGAAGUACAGUUCGAGCAGGGUGGAAACACGGUCUUAGUGAUCCGACGGUGCUGUGUGGAAGGGCCGUCGCUCAACGGAUAAAAGUUACUCUAGGAUAACAGGCUGAUCUCCCCCAAGAGUUCACAUCGACGGGGAGGUUUGGCACCUCGAUGUCGGCUCAUCACAACCUGGGGCGGAAGUACGUCCCAAGGGUUGGGCUGUUCGCCCAUUAAAGCGGUACGUGAGCUGGGUUCAGAACGUCGUGAGACAGUUCGGUCCAUAUCCGAUGUAGGCGUGAGAAUACUGAGAGGAGCCUUCCUUAGUACGAGAGGACCGGGAAGGACGCACCGCUGGUGUACCUGUUAUGAUGCCAAUUGUAAACGCAGGGUAGCCAAGUGCGGAGAGGAUAACCGCUGAAAGCAUCUAAGUGGGAAGCCCACCUCAAGAUGAGUAUUCUGGUGUAAGGUCACGGGAAGACGACCCGUAAAUAGGCACGAGGUGGAAGUGCAGAGAUGUAUGAAGCCGAAGUGUACUAAUAGACCGUCGGCUUGACC
RNAcentral lists this ribosomal RNA (1325 nucleotides) under metagenome. Its description in RNAcentral is "bacterial LSU rRNA". It matches the Rfam family "Bacterial large subunit ribosomal RNA", at positions 1561 to 2925 of the family's 2925-position model. The record is from RNAcentral.